RNAcentral lists this ribosomal RNA (372 nucleotides) under uncultured organism. RNAcentral describes it as "bacterial SSU rRNA". It matches the Rfam family "Bacterial small subunit ribosomal RNA", at positions 526 to 896 of the family's 1533-position model. The record is from RNAcentral.
CGAAGGGUGCAAGCGUUAAUCGGAAUUACUGGGCGUAAGGCGUGCGUAGGUGGUUUCUUAAGUCUGCUGUGAAAGCCCUGGGCUCAACCUGGGAAUGGCGGUGGAUACUGAGAAGCUAGAGUGCGGUAGAGGAGGGUGGAAUUCCCGGUGUAGCGGUGAAAUGCGUAGAGAUCGGGAGGAACAUCAGUGGCGAAGGCGGCCCUCUGGACCAGCACUGACGCUGAGGCACGAAAGCGUGGGGAGCAAACAGGAUUAGAUACCCUGGUAGUCCACGCCCUAAACGAUGCGGACUGGACGUUGGGCACAAUUCGGUGCUCAGUGUCGAAGCUAACGCGUUAAGUCCGCCGCCUGGGGAGUACGCUCGCAAGAGUG